AACGCACAUUGCGCCCUUCGGUAUUCCGUUGGGCAUGCCUGUUCGAGCGUCAUUUAAACCUUCAAGCUCUGCUUGGUGUUGGGUGUUUGUCCCGCCUCUGCGCGUGGACUCGCCUUAAAUUCAUUGGCAGCCGGUAAGUUGGCUUCGCGCGCAGCACAUUGCGAUGCGAUUCUGAUAGACCCCCUUCCAUUAAGCUCCUUUUUUACUUUGACCUCGGAUCAGGUAGGGAUACCCGCUGAACUUAA
RNAcentral lists this unclassified non-coding RNA (245 nucleotides) under uncultured fungus. Its description in RNAcentral is "partial contains 5.8S ribosomal RNA, internal transcribed spacer 2, and large subunit ribosomal RNA". Lineage: Eukaryota; Fungi. The record is from RNAcentral.